Molecule: long non-coding RNA, 1062 nt
Organism: Bos indicus x Bos taurus (hybrid cattle)
Lineage: Eukaryota; Metazoa; Chordata; Mammalia; Artiodactyla; Bovidae
Source: Ensembl
UUAAUGUAUACAUUCUAGCAGGGCCCCGUAAUGUGAGCACAGCAUAUUUCAAGAUAUUUCUGUUAUGGUACAUCCAAGGAUUACAGUUGGAAGCAAUUGAUUUAAUUCCCCAAUACCAUGGCAAUCGGGAAGCGUAAGAUGUGUUUUGUGUGCAGUCAGGAUGGGCUCUAAAGUGCAUCCUUAGGCUCAGCAGCAGAUCUGAGCCUGGGGCCUGAACUCGUGGAACCGCCAUCCUGGGAGCCCUGACAUCCUCAGGCAUGGGUCCCAGCACAGUGUGGGACGGGAAAGCAUCUUGACUGUGGAGGAUGCUGCUGCAUCUUUAUGUGUCGGUACCUUUUGUUCACUCCCUGAAGAGCAGCAACUUUGCUGAUUUUAGUUUAGUUUAUUUUCCCACUAUUAACAUGUGUACAUGUAAGUGUUUUCAAAGAUGCUUACAUUAGUGUCAUGUUUUGCAGAUAAUGUAUAACAGUAGGACUGAGGUGAGAAUCUUUAGUGCAAAAGCUAUUGCUCCUGCGAACGAAGGAAGUGCACGGCAGUGAGGUUUGGGACUGUCUUGGAGAUCGGAAGAUCCAGCCCUGUCCUGGGACAUCUUUGCUCAAGCCUCACACACACAAGAAAACUUCCCUUGCAAACCUCCAGCCUCCAUUGGCAGCCUCCUCAGCACCCCUUUCCAGGUCUCACCUCCAAGCAAAGUAAUCCUGCAGGGAUACAGAAGUGUGACCUCCAGAGCCCCUCCUUGGAGUCUGUCCUUUUCUUGGAAGUGGAAAGAAAAAAAAAAUUAACCCAAAACAAGUAAUAAUUUGAAAUUCUUUUUUUAAUUUUAUUUUUAUUUAUUUAUUUUUGGCUGCACUGAACUUCUCAUUGCAGUGACUUCUCUUGUUGCUGAGCAUGAACUCUAGAGUUGUGGCACCAUGAGCUUAGUUGCUCUGCAGCAUGUCGAAUCUUCCCUGACCAGGGAUCAAAUCUGUGUCCCCUACAUUGGCAGGCAGGUUCUUAACCACUGGGCCUCCAGGGAAGUCCCAAUUUGAAAUUCUUGUUCACUCUUUCUUUUUCCCUUUGCUC